CCUACGGGUGGCAGCAGUGAGGAAUAUUGGUCAAUGGCCGAGAGGCUGAACCAGCCAAGUCGCGUGAGGGAAGAAUGUCCUAUGGAUUGUAAACCUCUUUUGUAAGGGAGCAAAGUCACCCACGUGUGGGUGUUGGAGAGUACCUGAAGAAAAAGCAUCGGCUAACUCCGUGCCAGCAGCCGCGGUAAUACGGAGGAUGCGAGCGUUAUCCGGAUUUAUUGGGUUUAAAGGGUGCGUAGGCGGGUUAUCAAGUCAGCGGUAAAAUCGUGGAGCUAAACUUCAUCCAGCCGUUGAAACUGAUGCUCUUGAGUAGGCGAGAGGUAUGCGGAAUGCGUGGUGUAGCGGUGAAAUGCAUAGAUAUCACGCGGAACUCCAGUUGCGAAGGCGACAUACCGGAGCCCAACUGACGCUGAAGCACGAAAGCGUGGGUAUCGAACAGGAUUAGAUACCCCAGUAGUC
RNAcentral lists this ribosomal RNA (459 nucleotides) under uncultured bacterium. Its description in RNAcentral is "partial 16S ribosomal RNA". It matches the Rfam family "Bacterial small subunit ribosomal RNA", at positions 338 to 795 of the family's 1533-position model. The record is from RNAcentral.